This 473-nucleotide ribosomal RNA is filed under the name Porphyromonas gulae. Its description in RNAcentral is "bacterial SSU rRNA". It matches the Rfam family "Bacterial small subunit ribosomal RNA", at positions 9 to 471 of the family's 1533-position model. The record is from RNAcentral. Lineage: Bacteria; Pseudomonadati; Bacteroidota; Bacteroidia; Bacteroidales; Porphyromonadaceae.
GAGUUUGAUCCUGGCUCAGGAUGAACGCUAGCGAUAGGCUUAACACAUGCAAGUCGAGGGGCAGCAUGAACUUAGCUUGCUAAGUUUGAUGGCGACCGGCGCACGGGUGCGUAACGCGUAUGCAACUUGCCUUACAGAGGGGGAUAACCCGUUGAAAGACGGACUAAUACCGCAUAUACUUAUUCGGUUGCAUGACCGGGCAAGGAAAUAUUUAUAGCUGUAAGAUAGGCAUGCGUCCCAUUAGCUGGUUGGUGAGGUAACGGCUCACCAAGGCAACGAUGGGUAGGGGAACUGAGAGGUUUAUCCCCCACACUGGUACUGAGACACGGACCAGACUCCUACGGGAGGCAGCAGUGAGGAAUAUUGGUCAAUGGGCGAGAGCCUGAACCAGCCAAGUCGCGUGAAGGAAGACUGUCCUAAGGAUUGUAAACUUCUUUUAUACGGGAAUAACGGGCGAUACGCGUAUUGCUGUG